This is a non-coding RNA of Pelobates cultripes (western spadefoot toad), 206 nucleotides long. NCBI's taxonomy places the organism in Eukaryota, Metazoa, Chordata, Amphibia, Anura, Pelobatidae. The record is from the annotation of a GenBank genome assembly.
CACCACCUCUAAGAGGAGGCUCAAACAAUCCCACAACAUCUGUGACAUCUUAGCAACACAUGAUUAUGUAGACCCUUGGAGAAUAACACACCCUAAUGACACAGACUACACCUGCCACACGGCAGUACAUAACAGCUACUCAAGAAUAGACAGGUUCCUGAUUAGGACUACCACCGUCAUGAAAGUACUAGAGGCAGACAUCGGAG